UAAGCUGCUUUUGAGCCAGCUGAUCAGGACCGCUCUUCAGAAUCACAAUUUAACUGCUCUGCUGCGUCCAUUGUUCCGUGCAUGGAGGCAGCUGCCCCCCUGGCCAUCCCACUUGGCACUGCGGCAGUGAUUAAUAAGGACAUUCUGCAUUCACGGGAGGCCUCUCAGCCAAGGCCUCCGAGUACUUUGCAAGCAUUAAUUAAGCUUCAUGGCUGCGGCUCAGGUACACGGGGGCCCUGGAUUCACUCUCCAUGUCUUUAGCUGAUGCAAGAAGACACCAAGUCUCUCCCCUAGCAAGCCCUGGCCUUCAGCCUGGCCAGGCCCCAGUGGGCAUUCCUCAUCCCUGGGGUUUGACCAGAAUCAUUUGCAGAGAAAAGACUUCCGCUUGUUCUUCCAGACUUCAGAAUAAUAGCCAGUACUUAGAAGCCAUUUCCCAUUUGAGUUAGGUCCAGGCCAAGAGCUCCCUGGCUGGGCGCUACCUGGUGCCCACCCCCUGGCCCAUCUCAGUUAACGGGGAGCCAAUGUAGCCCACAGCUGGCUCCUUCCAGUGUGUUGAAACCCACUGUGCUGUACAUGGGGCCUUCGGGUCAGGCCUGGCCCUGCACCACCUCUGCAGUGUCCCCACCCUUCACUCCUGGUUCUACCCUCAGAUGUCUGCCGCUUGCCUACUGUGGCUCUGACAUCUGGAGCUAGUGCGGAGGUGGGAAGAGACCACAUAACUCAGGGUAGAAAGCUUGGGCUUCUACCCAAGGAUGUGGGGGAACCACAAAAGGGAUGGGCAGGGUCAGAUUUAUGCUUUGAGAUGACGGUUCAGGGAGACAUGUGUGGGAGGUGAGGGAGGGGGAGGCCAGAGGUCGUGGGGCCAAGAGGAGGCCGGGGUGAUGAGCCAGGGGAGCAGGGAUGAGACUCUAGUGGGCCGUGUCAGUGGAGGGAAGGAGCUUGAGAGGCGUUUAGAGAGGAGAUUUUUAACUUUUUAGUUUAUAAUGGAGUAUAGCCAAUUAACAGUGACAGUUUCAGGUGGACAGCAGAAAGAUUCAGCCAUACAUAUACAUGUAUCCAUUGUCCUCCAGACUCCCUUCCCAUCCAGGCUACCACAUAACAUUGAACAGAGUUCCCUGUGCUUUACAGUAGGUCCCUGUUGGUUAUCCAUUUUAAAUAUAGCAGUGUGUACAUGUUGAUAGAGAGGAGAUUGACAGGACUUCGUAACUACCUGGAGGCAGCAUGAGAAAGGAGGAGGAUCCCUAGACGCCCCUCUGGGCUAUCAGAUCCAUUCCACUGGGCAGUUAUGCCCUCCGUGUCCAGCACUGGGCUCAGGGAACUUGUGACCAACUUGGCAUUGUUAGUGCAGAUGGGCUCCCCCAACUUCCCCAGUGAAGUCAUGUCAGAGGGAGCAACCAGACCCAAACCCCUUGCUGUCCCCUCCCAUCUCCCAGGCACCAUCCUUUCUGGCUUGGCCAGGGAUUGAGGCCCAGUACUGAGCACUCAUCCUCCACUCCUGGGCUGUGGACAUGCCAGGCCACCCCUGAAUUGACUCACGUGAGUCUGGGGGUGGGCAUUUGUCCCCCACUUGGCUGAUGAAACCAAGGCUCAGGGGUUAAGUGACCUGCCUACCUGGGCUGAGUGGUGGCCCCUGAAAGGUGUUCAUGCCCUCAUCCCUGAAACCUGUGACUGCGUUACUUUACCUGGUAGAGGGAACUCUGCAGAUGUGAUUAAGUCAAGGAUUUUCACCUGGAGAGAUUACCCUGUGUUAUCCAGGGGGCCCGAUGUAAUUACAACGGUCCUUGUAAGAGGAAGUGGUAACGCCAAAGGUGGCAGAAGGAGACAGGCAGAUAAAAGCAGAAGUGAUGUAUUUUAAAGAUGGAGGAGGGCACCAUCAGCCAAGGAAUAUAGGCAGUCCCUAGAAGUUAGAAAAAGCAAGGAAAUGGAUUCUUCCCUGGAGCUUCCAGAAGGAGCGGCAAACAGCUGACACUGAUUUGAGCCCAGAGCUUAUUUCAGGCUUCUGACCUCUGCAACUGUGAGAUAAUAAAUUCCUCAGCAUCGUCCAAGUACAUCAGAAGUUCCCAGUAGGAGGUAUCGUUUAAUCUGGGCAAGAGAAGAGGUUUGUUUGGAUUCUGCUCAGGCCAACACAAAAUCACAAUCAGCCUCUUUCCUUGCCCAGAACGGGGGAAGCCAUGGGUGCCAGGCCUGGCCCUGGGCAAGACAGAGGGAUGAGCCCCCUGGAAACGGGCCGGAAGAGUGUGGGCGACAGAAGAUAGGAAGGUACUCGGAGGAGGAAAACGAGAAUUUCACCAUUGUCACAGAAGUAUGAGCCCCAGUGGCUUGAAGUGCCGGGCAAGGACCUGAGAGGCGAGGGUGGGGCUAUCCUACCACCAGGGAUCCUCUGCCUGACAGGACCCAGGCUUUCCUCAGAGUGGCCACAGGGACUUCUCCCUGGACAACUUGUCAAAAUCUGCAUGGCCUUGCCAAACCGUGGAUUUAUCCUUCCAGAAGCGUGGAGGGCAUCUGGAACUCGCAUGACUUUCCAGAGGAAACGCAGUGCAGCACCAUGAUCUCUUUCAUCUUCUAUCAUCUUACACAUCAAAACUCCCCCUCCACUCAUCAAGGGACUCUUGCAUAGCUGUGGGCUGAGGCCAGUGCUCCAGAACCUUGGACAGCUCCACUCCUUACGGACUGCUGAGCGCCUUGAGGGAGCAUGAAGGACUUGGGGGAUUUUCCCAGAAGGGCUGCAUUAGUGUGGGGAUUUAGGGAUCCCAAGGGCCUCAGUCUCACUCCCAGAAAGUGUACCAGUGACUGCAUGUUCAGAUUCUUCAACACAACCAGCCCUCCUGGCAAAUUCUGAGGAGCCUCUCCUCCUCAGAAACCCUAUCCAUAAGAGUUACCAAAUCAUCAGGGCCUUUCCUUCUCUCCUAGGAACUCCAAGGAUUUUUUUUUUUCCCUUUUUUGAGCCCAAGAAGAACAAAAAUACCACCCACAUCUUCCUGUAUCCGCUGAUAUUUACUUUGUUUGGCUUCAGUACAAGGAUUAAACCUUCUUGAUUAA
Bubalus bubalis (water buffalo) is the source of this 3039-nucleotide long non-coding RNA. RefSeq lists it as uncharacterized. The transcript is spliced from 4 exons. NCBI's taxonomy places the organism in Eukaryota, Metazoa, Chordata, Mammalia, Artiodactyla, Bovidae. The record is from RefSeq and is a predicted model, not a curated record.